UACGUAGGGUCCAAGCGUUGUCCGGAUUUAUUGGGCGUAAAGAGCUCGUAGGCGGUUCGGUAAGUCGGAUGUGAAAACUCGGGGCUCAACCCCGAGACGCCAUCCGAUACUGCUGUGACUUGAGUCUGGUAGGGGGAACACGGAAUUCCUGGUGUAGCGGUGAAAAUGCGCAGAUAUCAGGAGGAACACCGAUGGCGAAGGCAGUGUUCUGGGCCAGUACUGACGCUGAGGAGCGAAAAGCGUGGGGUAGCGAAACAGG
This 259-nucleotide ribosomal RNA is filed under the name uncultured bacterium. RNAcentral describes it as "partial 16S ribosomal RNA". It matches the Rfam family "Bacterial small subunit ribosomal RNA", at positions 524 to 776 of the family's 1533-position model. The record is from RNAcentral.